RNAcentral lists this ribosomal RNA (301 nucleotides) under uncultured bacterium. RNAcentral describes it as "partial 16S ribosomal RNA". It matches the Rfam family "Bacterial small subunit ribosomal RNA", at positions 509 to 809 of the family's 1533-position model. The record is from RNAcentral.
CAUUAGCCACGGUAAUACGUAGGUGGCAAGCGUUGUCCGGAAUUAUUGGGCGUAAAGGGCUCGCAGGCGGUUUCUUAAGUCUGAUGUGAAAGCCCCCGGCUCAACCGGGGAGGGUCAUUGGAAACUGGGAAACUUGAGUGCAGAAGAGGAGAGUGGAAUUCCACGUGUAGCGGUGAAAUGCGUAGAGAUGUGGAGGAACACCAGUGGCGAAGGCGACUCUCUGGUCUGUAACUGACGCUGAGGAGCGAAAGCGUGGGGAGCGAACAGGAUUAGAUACCCCUGUAGUCCCUGUCUCUUAUAU